GCUAUACUGCAGUCGAGCGGACCUCUUCGGAGGUUAGCGGCGGACGGGUGAGUAACACGUGGGCAACCUGCCUGUAAGACUGGGAUAACUCCGGGAAACCGGAGCUAAUACCGGAUAGUAUCUUGAACCGCAUGGUUCAAGUUGGAAAGACGGUUUCGGCUGUCACUUACAGAUGGGCCCGCGGCGCAUUAGCUAGUUGGUGAGGUAAUGGCUCACCAAGGCAACGAUGCGUAGCCGACCUGAGAGGGUGAUCGGCCACACUGGGACUGAGACACGGCCCAGACUCCUACGGGAGGCAGCAGUAGGGAAUCUUCCGCAAUGGACGAAAGUCUGACGGAGCAACGCCGCGUGAGUGAUGAAGGUUUUCGGAUCGUAAAACUCUGUUGUUAGGGAAGAACAAGUGCGAGAGUAACUGCUCGCACCUUGACGGUACCUAACCAGAAAGCCACGGCUAACUACGUGCCAGCAGCCGCGGUAAUACGUAGGUGGCAAGCGUUGUCCGGAAUUAUUGGGCGUAAAGCGCGCGCAGGCGGUUUCUUAAGUCUGAUGUGAAAGCCCCCGGCUCAACCGGGGAGGGUCAUUGGAAACUGGGAAACUUGAGUGCAGAAGAGGAGAGUGGAAUUCCACGUGUAGCGGUGAAAUGCGUAGAGAUGUGGAGGAACACCAGUGGCGAAGGCGACUCUCUGGUCUGUAACUGACGCUGAGGCGCGAAAGCGUGGGGAGCGAACAGGAUUAGAUACCCUGGUAGUCCACGCCGUAAACGAUGAGUGCUAAGUGUUAGAGGGUUUCCGCCCUUUAGUGCUGCAGCUAACGCAUUAAGCACUCCGCCUGGGGAGUACGGUCGCAAGACUGAAACUCAAAGGAAUUGACGGGGGCCCGCACAAGCGGUGGAAC
Molecule: ribosomal RNA, 894 nt
Filed under: Metabacillus idriensis
Lineage: Bacteria; Bacillati; Bacillota; Bacilli; Caryophanales; Bacillaceae
Description: bacterial SSU rRNA
Rfam family: Bacterial small subunit ribosomal RNA
Source: RNAcentral